GACGAACGCUGGCGGCGUGCUUAACACAUGCAAGUCGAACGGAAAGGCCCUGCUUGCAGGGUACUCGAGUGGCGAACGGGUGAGUAACACGUGGGUGAUCUGCCCUGCACUUCGGGAUAAGCCUGGGAAACUGGGUCUAAUACCGGAUAGGAGCCAUUUUUAGUGUGAUGGUUGGAAAGUUUUUUCGGUGUAGGAUGAGCUCGCGGCCUAUCAGCUUGUUGGUGGGGUAAUGGCCUACCAAGGCGGCGACGGGUAGCCGGCCUGAGAGGGUGGACGGCCACAUUGGGACUGAGGGACGGCCCAGGCUCCUACGGGAGGCAGCAGGGGGGAAUAUUGCACAAUGGGCGCAAGCCUGAUGCAGCGACGCCGCGUGGGGGAUGACGGCCUUCGGGUUGUAAACUCCUUUCGCUAGGGACGAAGCUUUUUGUGACGGUACCUAGAUAAGAAGCACCGGCUAACUACGUG
Molecule: ribosomal RNA, 465 nt
Filed under: uncultured bacterium
Lineage: Bacteria
Description: partial 16S ribosomal RNA
Rfam family: Bacterial small subunit ribosomal RNA
Source: RNAcentral